GCUAAGGUCGGGCGAUACGAGGGGGUAAGACGUGGUGGGCGAGCGUGGUGCGGAAUUAGUGGGCGUAAAGGGUGCGUAGGCGGUGCGUUAAGUCUUGUGUGAAAUCUUCGGGCUCAACUCGAAGUCUGCACGAGAAACGGCCGGGCUUGAGUGUGGGAGAGGUGAGUGGAAUUUCCGGUGUAGCGGUGAAAUGCGUAGAUAUCGGAAGGAACACCUGUGGCGAAAGCGGCUCACUGGACCACAACUGACGCUGAGGCACGAAAGCUAGGGGAGCAAACAGGAUUAGAUACCCGUGUAGUC
RNAcentral lists this ribosomal RNA (300 nucleotides) under uncultured Desulfovibrio sp. RNAcentral describes it as "bacterial SSU rRNA". It matches the Rfam family "Bacterial small subunit ribosomal RNA", at positions 496 to 795 of the family's 1533-position model. Lineage: Bacteria; Pseudomonadati; Thermodesulfobacteriota; Desulfovibrionia; Desulfovibrionales; Desulfovibrionaceae. The record is from RNAcentral.